Molecule: ribosomal RNA, 487 nt
Filed under: uncultured bacterium
Lineage: Bacteria
Description: bacterial SSU rRNA
Rfam family: Bacterial small subunit ribosomal RNA
Source: RNAcentral
GACGAACGCUGGCGGCGUGGAUUAGGCAUGCAAGUCGGACGGUAGGGCUUUAUCGUAAGAUAGAGUUUGAGAGUGGCGAACGGGUGAGUAACACGUAGGAAUCUACCCUUAAGACGGGGACAACCCAGGGAAACUUGGGCUAAUACCGGAUGAGAGUGCGAGAGAUUGCAUUUAAAAGGAUGGCGAAAGUUGUCGCUUAGGGAUGAGCCUGCGGUCUAUUAGUUAGUUGGUGAGGUAAGAGCUCACCAAGGCGAUGAUAGAUAGGCGGCCUUAACGGGUGGUCGCCCACACUGGGAUUGAGAUACGGCCCAGACUCCUACGGGAGGCAGCAGUGGGGAAUAUUGCGCAAUGGGGGAAACCCUGACGCAGCGACGCCGCGUGGAGGAAGAAGUCCUUCGGGAUGUAAACUUCUGAACUAGCCGAAUAAAAGGCCUGUGGACACACAGGAGAAGAAAGUAGGCUAGGAAAAGUCCCGGCUAACUACGUG